CGAGUGAUUCUCGCCCUCGUAAGGCUUAGAGCUGCGGCUAAGUAGGCGGGGCCCAUGUGCUUUCAGAGGCAAAGAAGGAAAGAGAGAGAGAGAGAGGGAGCACAGCUCAACCCAUUAUAAUAUAUUUUACGCUUGCAAUCA
Non-coding RNA from Caenorhabditis elegans, 141 nucleotides. NCBI's taxonomy places the organism in Eukaryota, Metazoa, Nematoda, Chromadorea, Rhabditida, Rhabditidae. The record is from Ensembl.